AUUCCUCUUCUUUUCCUUCUUUGCAUUUGCAGAUAAGCAUUUUAGGAUCCACCCCCGCAGAGAAGCUUGGACUAAUUGCCUUCUCUGGGAACUCUUCCUCCUGCAAACUGGGAGGGUAGGGCCCCAUCAUGCCCCCUUCAUCACCUCACUUGUGCACCUCAUUCCUGUGCCUGCUGUUCCAAGCACUUCCACACCCCAGUCCUGUUCUUUAUCAGUGCCCAUUGUUUCUCCCCUCACUAAGACAGAGCCUACCCUGGCACAGUCCCAGCAAGCCGACCCCUUCCCCGAGCUCUCCUGCAAUUCCUGUCCCACUUUGCUUCUCUGCAUCAGCCUUGGCUGAUCAAUGUUUUGAGGGAAAUUUCUUCACUCUGCUUGAUUUGUAUUUUCUCUCCCCCUCCCUGCUCGUGCAGUAAUGUGUGGCAUUUGGCAUUAAAUGAUUACUUUUCUUGUGACAGCAGUUUCUUGCUUCCCAAGGAGUACAGAGCACUCCUGUCAGAGAGCUGCUACUGUCCCAGGAGGAGCAUUGCACGUAUCCCACACCCUGGCUGUGCCUGUGUUUCGUGGCAGAAGAGCAUCCCAAAACCUCCCUGGGUGAGGGAGCAGGGCCAGCCACUAGAAGGCAACGUGGUCCCACAAACAGCCACGUUAGUUCCCUCAGAGUGAGGGAGGCUGAAGCCUGCACUUCUGCUGGGGGUGAUCACUUUUGUCACUCACAUCUGUAAUUAGAGGGGUUCUAUUAAAAACAUGGGGUUUGCUCUGGCAGAGACUGUGGCACCAUUCGUGAGGAAGAAGGUAAGAAGUGGUCUCUGCUGGCGUGCAGGAGUUUCAGUGUUGUACUAAAACAGCAUUUACAGUAUUUGUCCGCUGUGUUAGCAAACAGGGCUGAAGGCAAUUUAUUGGGAAAGAGUUCAGUGCAAAUAGCAAUCUCUUGAUAAUCGCUACUGGUUUCGUAGGCCUGAAGCUCCUUAUGACUCUGUGAGGAGGAUUUGCUUUGCCAGCUUGCUCCUGCGGACAAUUAGCAAGAAACAUUUGUUUCUAUCAAGAAUUUAAUGCUGCCGAAGCGUAGUGAAUAAAUCCAUAUGUCUGGGUGGGUCUAUGACUUCAAAAUAGAUGCAGUGCUCCUGUUUAACCCUCUCCCUUUCUUCUCUCUUGUAGCUGAAAGACUACAGAUGGUCCUCUCUUUAUUUGUGUGUUAAAAGUUGUAUAAAGCUCCCCUAAGUAUUUUCUGCCUUUUAAUUUUCAAGAACAUUGAGAUGGAGAAAAUCUGCUCUGUGGAUCAAAAGAAUGGAGCCCAAUUAGCACAGCUCUCAGCGUUGAUCUGAACUAAGUAUCAUACAUCUCAUAAAUGGACCAUCUUGAUCUACUGUCACCUGGUCUCUGUUCAUUUGUUUGAUUUGUUUCUCUUGUUUUUCCUAGCAGUCACCUUGAAUUCCACUCUCUUAGCUGUAACUGUUUCAUUUCUUACACUGCCCUUUGUCUUAUGUGUGACUAACAAGGCCUUUUGUAUCUAUUCCUUUUUCUCACUCCUGUUUCACAUUCAGGCAGCUGUUGCUGGCGGAGGGCUCUGGAGAAGCCGUGACAUUGUAACUGCAAGCAAGCAGGAAGGGUCAGGGAGCAGAGGGGAAGUGCCCUAGCAGCAGCUCCAGUCCCUGUCCUGUACCAAGCCUUUGGCUCCUCAGAAGUGACUCACAACUCUCCUGUGCUGUAUCAAAGUGUUCUACAGGGAACUGAAUGCUGUGCCUAGGGACUUGUUACCUCUUGCGGCCUCCAGCCUGUCUUGUGCUCAGUCCUGCAGCACAGCCAUUAUGCUGAAUUUAUGACACAACAGUAAUUACUGUGCCAAACUCAACCAGAUGCUGUUUAAAAAAAAAAAAAAAGAAGAAGAAGAAGAAGGAAAAAGUACUCAAGCCUGAGAAACAAAACCACUGGGUUGUGCCUAACAAUGCUGAAUGAGAUGGCAGAGGAAGGAAAGCUUUAUUCAGGCUGUAGCAUUGGCUGAGCUGCCAUGGGCAUUCAGGUCCAUGGCACUGUAAACAGCACGUUGAUCAACAUCUCCUCCAAGUCUGCCACCUUGUGAGUGCCCUUCUUUAGCACAUCGAGCUGUGCAGCAUGAAGCACACCACAAGCCUGGCGCUCCCUCAGAGAGAACAAAGCUGGUCUCCUGCUGAUGCUUAAUGCCAGAACUUUUAUUAGCAGCAAGUGACAGCAGUUUAGCCUCCCUUCCUUUUUUUAGAUGAUUACAUUCUUAAGCCGAUUGACUGUGUUGACUAAAGGCAGCUGUUGAUCCAUACUCUUUCCUCUUGCACACACAAUGGCACAUAAAGAAAAGAAACGCCAGAUUUUGUGUGCUUGGGAUAAGCUUCAGAUUUGGAUUGCCUGAGCAGAGGUGAAAAAUUGGCUGCUUUCUCUCAGGAGGCGCAAGCCUGGGCAGAGCAGAGGGCUGUGAGCUGGGCUUCCUGGAGGCCCUUUCCUUGCCCACACCUCCAGGAAUGGGGACAAGGAUGGCAGCUACCGGAUGGAUCUGGAAGUUACCACCUUAAUGCAGGGAAAACGCUGUCAAGAAGAGGGACAAUUAGUGAAUGAAACACAAGUACAGCCUGCAGCCUUUAUGUAGAGCUAAAUGUGGAUGCGUAAAUGAAGCUUUCUUUUUUUGGUAGUGACUGUUAAUACGAAGAUCUAUACUCACAUCCUAGGCCCCAGCAGGUGCUUUGCUCAGAGGACAUCUGGGACAUCCAAAGUGGCAGCCUAUUUCUGGGCUCAGACAAGGGGAUGUGACACAGGGAUGUGACACAGGAAUGCACUACCAACACGUAGGCAUGUGGAUAAUUCACCUCAAACUCGCUUGCCCUGAACAUGCAGCAAUCCUCUGAGCUUGUGAACACUACAACUCCAGGUCAUGGCACUGGGAGUGCCCCCGUAGCCACAAAAGAGCUGAAAAGCUGCUCUGCAGUUAAAAAAAAAGGAAUCACCUAGAAGUCAGGCUGAGGGCCACAAAGAUGAUAAAGGGCCUGGAGCAUCUCCUGUAUGAGGAAAGACUGAGAAACCUGGAUCUGUGCAGCCUGGGAAAAAGAAGACUGAGGGGGGAUCUGAUUAAUAUUUAUAAAUAUCUACAGGGAGGUGGGAGGCAAAUGGAUGAGACUAGGCUCUUCUCAGUGCUGCGUAGUAGCAGGACAAGGAGUAAUGGCCUAACUUGAAUAUAAGAAGUUCCAUAAAAACAUGUGAAAAAACUUAUUUAUGGUAAGGGAGAUGGAGCACUGGAACAGGUUGUCCAGAGGGGUUGUGGAGUCUCCUUCUAUGAGACAGUCAAGAGCCAGCUGGACGCCUACCUGUGUGACUUGCAGUAGUGUACCUGCUUGUGCAGGGAGAUGGACUCAACAAUCUCUAGAGGUCCUUUCCAACCCCUGCAAUUCUGUGAUUCUUGGAGAGGAGCUCCCUUUUAAGCACCUUGUGUGUGUGACUAGGCAAGCACGUAACUUUACCCAGGAGGAAAGAUGAAAAUGGAAAUGACUUGCAGCUGUAAUUACCCAAUCAAGCUUUUUUUUUCAAGGAAAAGCAUGUCUUCUCUGGUGUAAAUUAAUGGAAAAAGACUCUUUCUGCAAGGAUUUAGUAGACAAAUUUUCUAGCUCAGCAUCUGCUGGGUGUAAUGCAUGGCAAAUACCUCAGGUAAAGAUAUCAUGGGAGUCUCAACUAACAAGAAGGAUCCUGAUACUAUCUUAUCUCAGCUGAACCUACCAUUCAGUGGGGCACACUAACAGUGGGGUGGGUUAGUAUCAUCCUCCAAAGAAUUUCAUGAUAACCUCUCAUUUGAAGACAGAGAUUCAGGAUGAAUGCCAGAUUUGCUACAUCUGAGAGCAGUCCGCUUAGACGUUCUUGUCGCACAUCAAAACACACUUACAGCCAUGUCUGUUUUCAUGAUGAUCCUCAUUUCAUCCUUCCCAGCAAAAUAAUAAAGAAAUAAAUAAAACCACCUAUCUGGUGUGAGAAGUUAAUUAAAAGUAAUGGUAACAUGUCAAAUGGCCAAUAAAGUGUCUGGGUUAACUCUGUAAUGUUGUUGUGUCCCAGUGGAGUUGCAGUUCUGAAUGUAUAAGCAUCACAGCAAGAUAUGACUGCAAGUGAAUAUCUCUAUUCAAAAUAAGGUAAAUGGUCAGAAAGCAGGGAAGAAGUUUUAGCAGAUGCGCACGUGCAUUCACUGAGAUAAGCUGCUACAAAUUACAGUACAACUCACGCUUACCUUCUCUUUCAGCACACCAGGCCUGCAGAGCAGCAGGCGCUCAGCUCCCACAAGUGUCCAUGUGAGCUGGGGGCAGGAAUGCCACAGAGGGUGUUCAGUUUUCAAGCCUUUGCCUGUGCAGACACAUCAAAAUUUCAGUGGAAUAAAAUAGCAAUGCUUGAUCAGAUUGCUAGCCUAGUGACUUCUCCUAGUUACAUCUCUUGCUACCAAUACAAGCACUUGUUAAAAUGCUUUUGGUUUCAUUUCUGUUUGUUGGUUUUGUUUAUUUCUACUAGCCCUUAAAUAUUGUGGUUAAAAAAAAAAAAAAAAGAGAUGUUACAUAAACAGAAUUGUCACUGCUCAAUGGGGGGAGAAAAAAAAGAGGAGCAUAACAUCACAUUAGAAAUGAACAUAGGUUUCCCUGAAAGUAAUGCCUCCUAUUUAUACCCAUGGAAACUACAACAGAUACAAGGAGCACAAUAACAUGCAAAUCUGUUUUGGGUACUUUAAAUUAUUUUUGCAGCCCUCAGUUUGAAGCUGCAACCGUGUUUUUCAUGCAGUUGUGUUUGCAACUGGAUUUCUAGAUUCUUCAAGGGUUAGCAUAAGAAAAAAAUGGAGUUUUAUUAAAUGGAUUCCUCAGAACAGAUGGAAAAAAAGAGCAUGCUUUUCUUUUAG
Molecule: long non-coding RNA, 4885 nt
Organism: Gallus gallus (chicken)
Lineage: Eukaryota; Metazoa; Chordata; Aves; Galliformes; Phasianidae
Source: Ensembl